ACGUAAUACCACGACCAAAAUCUGACGUUUCUGCAACGUUGUAUAGUGGUUGUGGAAAUUACUUACGAAAAUUAUAUUUAUGAAGAUUUGUUUGAAGACACAGAUAUCUUAUCGCCGUGACUUUAAGUCAAAGAGAGAAACACAGGUCCGUAGCAGGAGACGCUUUUUUUGGCACAGUAUGAUGCAUCCCGUUAGUGUUGCUUAGACGCCAGACAAAAUCUUGAGACUUAACUUCCUUGAUUUCCUAAAAAUGCAUUCUCUGCAUAAGUUUUGUCCCCAUUAUCGACAAAAAUAUUUGGGAGCUGUGUCCCCUAACCCCUACGCUGCUACGGCCCUGAAACAUAAGACCUUGGGAACGAGUUUGUCUUUUUAUUUUGGUCAGUCUGACUUAGAGUAGUGUUAAUAAUAUGUAUAUCUAAAUGUUGCAUGGUAAGUGCGACCACGAUAUAUUCCGGCGCGCUUCUUUCAAUGAGGGCUCCCUAUGAACUUUAUUUGAAACAUGAAAUAUGUUUGAUGGGUGUCCUGGAUAUGUUUAUUUGUUUUUAUUUUGUAUCAAAGUUAGCUUUAUGAUUGUUAGGAUAUUAACUUGUUUUUUUUUAAUGAACUGGAUGAGUUUUUUUGCUAAGAAAAUGUAAGAUCGUCUGACUGGCAGUCUUAAAACUUCUAAAGGAUAGCAAAUAAAAACAAACCUAGCACACUAGCCUAGUAAUUAAAGAAUUUCAAGGUGCUUUAUACUCACUAGUUAAAAUUAAAAAUAUCUUGUUGAGGCAGUCUACUGAUUGUGUAGCAACAACUCCAGAGUUUGAAAGAAACAGAGAGCAUAGAAGAAUGUGACAAGUAUAUAAUUGGCGAACAAAGAUUACUUCGAAUCAAUGGUGUCACAGUUAUCAAAAGUCGGUGGGGAAAAUGUGAAGGAAGCUACAAGAAAUAUAAUGAAAUAGUUGAUGAGUUAUUCAAUCAUUUCACUUUUCAAUAUGAACGGGAAAAGAACAAAGAAGGGCUUGAUUAAAAAAAGAAUUAGAGUGUUGAUAGUGCAGCAGCAAAUGCAGCCGAGAAAAAAAAAGGAAAUGGCAUCCGUAUUGAAGUAUGCCCCAGACCAGGAUAGUGAGAUUGGACGAAAUGCGAAAAGUGCAGAACAAGUUUAACUUCCAUUUCUACAUUUAUAUGUAUUCUUCUUUUGUCAUAGAGAUAGCAAUUUAUUAUAUAUACAUAUAUAACCUAAUUACACCCUAAUAAUUCAACCAGGCAAAAUUUCAGUUUU
This is a long non-coding RNA of Hydractinia symbiolongicarpus, 1261 nucleotides long. RefSeq lists it as uncharacterized. The record is from RefSeq and is a predicted model, not a curated record. The transcript has 4 exons. NCBI's taxonomy places the organism in Eukaryota, Metazoa, Cnidaria, Hydrozoa, Anthoathecata, Hydractiniidae.